Molecule: ribosomal RNA, 733 nt
Filed under: Axonolaimus arcuatus
Lineage: Eukaryota; Metazoa; Nematoda; Chromadorea; Araeolaimida; Axonolaimidae
Description: partial large subunit ribosomal RNA
Rfam family: Eukaryotic large subunit ribosomal RNA
Source: RNAcentral
CCUACAAAAGACCCCCUAGGGAAAGUUGCAAAGAACUUUGAAGAGAGAGUUCAAGAGGGCGUGAAACCGAUUAGAGGGAAACGGGUAGAGCCAAUGAAAGCCGGCGGUAUUCAGCCAGGCCUUCGGGCCUGGUGUAUUUGCUGUCGGCGACGCUGACGGGGGUGGCGCCGGCCUUCGACCUUGUCUUAGAGGACUGUUUCGGCAGCACCCUGUUGGCUUGGAAGACUGCCUCGGCGCUACUGCUAAUGGGUGUCCACCCUGGCGACGGCGUCCUUGUGCGGCGUCAGGGCGGACGGCGGACCAGGUGUAGCUUGCUAUGCCCCUGUCGUCUGUUCUAAAUCGCACGAGGGAUCGGCACUGUGUCAGUGUAAAAGUUGGCGGCCUACCUGACCCGUCUUGAAACACGGACCAAGGAGUCUAACAUGUGCGCAAGUUGAAAGGUGGUAAACCUAUAGAGCGCAAUGAAAGUGAAUGCCGGUCAAACUGGCUGAUAUGGGAUCGGGUCCUCCGGGGCCCGCUCACCAUAGUCCCGUCGCGUCUGCAUGUCAGUGCGGCGGAGACAGAGCGUACACGUUGGGACCCGAAAGAUGGUGAACUAUGCCUGAGCAGGAUGAAGCCAGGGGAAACUCUGGUGGAGGUCCGAAGCGGUUCUGACGUGCAAAUCGAUCGUCAGACUUGGGUAUAGGGGCGAAAGACUAAUCGAACCAUCUAGUAGCUCGUCCCCUUUCCCGAA